Molecule: ribosomal RNA, 253 nt
Filed under: uncultured bacterium
Lineage: Bacteria
Description: partial 16S ribosomal RNA
Rfam family: Bacterial small subunit ribosomal RNA
Source: RNAcentral
UACGUAGGGGGCAAGCGUUGUCCGGAAUCAUUGGGCGUAAAGAGCGUGUAGGCGGCUCGGUAAGUCUGCUGUGAAAGUCCAGGGCUCAACCCUGGAAUGCCGGUGGAAACUGUCGGGCUCGAGUCCGGAAGAGGCGAGUGGAAUUCCUGGUGUAGCGGUGAAAUGCGCAGAUAUCAGGAGGAACACCGGUGGCGAAGGCGGUGGUCUGGGCCGGAACUGACGCUGAAUAGCGAAAGCGUGGGUAGCGAACAGG